AAAGUCGUAACAAGGUAACCGUAGGUGAACCUGCGGUUGGAUCAUUAAAAAAACAGGACGUCCGGAAGGACAAUGAAAGUCGAGGUUCACUCGUGCUUUCUUUGUUCCGGGUGUUUAAACCUCUUGCAUGGGAUUUGUGCAAAACGAAUUCCGUGCUCGAAUGGUUUUAAACCAUUAUGUGAACUGUAAUCGUCUUUGGUGGGGAGGCUGGAAGAGUGGUGAAACCAUGCAUUGGUUUUCCCACGUCCUGCCCGUCCGGUUUCAGGCGUUUGCCAUGCAGACCGUGGACAACCCACCGACUGAUUUUUUUCUACCACAUUUUUUUCUUUAUUUCUGUCUCAUGUUUAUGAUUUUUCUUGAAUCAAAAAUACAACUUUUGGCAACGGAUCUCUUGGCUCUC
RNAcentral lists this unclassified non-coding RNA (400 nucleotides) under Chytridiomycota sp. Its description in RNAcentral is "partial contains small subunit ribosomal RNA, internal transcribed spacer 1, and 5.8S ribosomal RNA". The stretch from base 1 to 47 matches the Rfam family "Eukaryotic small subunit ribosomal RNA", at positions 1785 to 1831 of the family's 1831-position model. The record is from RNAcentral. Lineage: Eukaryota; Fungi; Chytridiomycota.